This 138-nucleotide transfer RNA is filed under the name Parapedobacter indicus. RNAcentral's name for it is "tRNA-Glu". It matches the Rfam family "tRNA". Rfam says of the family: Transfer RNA (tRNA) molecules are approximately 80 nucleotides in length. The record is from RNAcentral. Lineage: Bacteria; Pseudomonadati; Bacteroidota; Sphingobacteriia; Sphingobacteriales; Sphingobacteriaceae.
GUCGAGGUGGCGGAAUUGGUAGACGUUCAAGGGGCUAAUAAGGUAUGCAUUCCUUCCGUAGCCGAAUGGAUGAUGGAGCCAACAGUAAUAAUGCAUCAGAGGCCCUUCAUCGUGCUGGUUCGAAUCCAGCCCUCGACA